UGGCUCUGUUGGUGCCAACCUGUGUCACAGGCGUGGGACCUCUGGAAGUCCACAGGCCGAUUAAGCAGAAGCUUUGCACAAGGGAUGCUUUGAUUUCUUGUCUCCACCUGACAGAUACCUCCCACGAAUGUUAUCUCAUGUGGAAAAGAGAACUGGACAACUAUUUCGCUAAAACAGGAAGAUCAUAGGAAUCUACCAUCCAGUUCCAGCACAGCGGUGGUCCAGGAACCCACAUGGGGAUGCCAGGGCUGCUGGGACCCACACACUGUCGGGAGCACUCACAUCCUGGGUAUCCCAGGGAUCCACCUCCUUCCUUCUCUUCCCAAAGUUGCUACCUUCCAGUGUCUGGAUUCCAAGUUGGAGAGGCUGACUAGUUGCUGCUUACCACUCCACCAUCUUCCUGGAAGGUAUCACCAAUCCAGGUCCUGUGAUAUGCUGCUGGAUUCUAUGCCACCAUCUUCUUCUCUCAAUGAAAACCUGUAGGAUUUCCACAGAUGCACUUUAUCAGAGUGAGGAAGUUCCCUGCUAUUCUUAGUUGGCUGACAGUGUUGUGGGUUGUUUUUGGUUUUGGUUUUUCAAUACUAGGUAUUGAACCCAGGGCCUUCUCACCGAGCUACAUCCCCAGAAUUUUUUCUUUUAUUUUGAGACAGGGCCUUGCUAAAUUUCUGGGUUGCCCAAACUGGGCUCAAGCUUGUGAUCCUCCUGCCUCAGUCUCUCAAAGUGCUGAGAUUCCAGGCGUGUGCCACUGCACCCAGCUAACUGACACUUUUCAAUAGGGAUCUUAAAUUUUGUCAAAUGCUAUUUCUUCAUCUACUGAAAUGACCCAGUG
Molecule: long non-coding RNA, 829 nt
Filed under: Heterocephalus glaber (naked mole-rat)
Lineage: Eukaryota; Metazoa; Chordata; Mammalia; Rodentia; Bathyergidae
Description: lncRNA (ENSHGLG00100049585.1)
Source: RNAcentral